RNAcentral lists this ribosomal RNA (515 nucleotides) under uncultured bacterium. Its description in RNAcentral is "partial 16S ribosomal RNA". It matches the Rfam family "Bacterial small subunit ribosomal RNA", at positions 28 to 523 of the family's 1533-position model. The record is from RNAcentral.
GAUGAACGCUGGCGGCGUGCCUAAUACAUGCAAGUCGAGCGAAUGGAUUAAGAGCUUGCUCUUAUGAAGUUAGCGGCGGACGGGUGAGUAACACGUGGGUAACCUGCCCAUAAGACUGGGAUAACUCCGGGAAACCGGGGCUAAUACCGGAUAAUAUUUUGAACUGCAUGGUUCAAAAUUGAAAGGCGGCUUCGGCUGUCACUUAUGGAUGGACCCGCGUCGCAUUAGCUAGUUGGUGAGGUAACGGCUCACAAAGGCAACGGUGCGUAGCCGACCUGGGAGGGUGAACGGGCACACUGGGACUGAGAAACGGCCCAGACUCCUACGGGGGGCAGCAGUAGGGAAUCUUCCGCAAUGGACGAAAGUCUGACGGAGCAACGCCGCGUGAGUGAUGAAGGCUUUCGGGUCGUAAAACUCUGUUGUUAGGGAAGAACAAGUGCUAGUUGAAUAAGCUGGCACCUUGACGGUACCUAACCAGAAAGCCACGGCUAACUACGUGCCAGCAGCCGCAGUAA